GAUGAACGCUAGCUACAGGCUUAACACAUGCAAGUCGAGGGGAAACGGCGAAGGGUGCUUGCACUCUCCGGACGUCGACCGGCGCACGGGUGAGUAACGCGUAUCCAACCUUCCCAUGACCGGGGGAUAACCUGCCGAAAGGCAGACUAAUACCCCAUGGCCUUCACUGACGGCAUCAUAUGUGAAGUAAAGAUUCAUCGGUCAUGGAUGGGGAUGCGUCUGAUUAGCUUGUUGGCGGGGUAACGGCCCACCAAGGCGACGAUCAGUAGGGGUUCUGAGAGGAAGGUCCCCCACAUUGGAACUGAGACACGGUCCAAACUCCUACGGGAGGCAGCAGUGAGGAAUAUUGGUCAAUGGGCGCAAGCCUGAACCAGCCAAGUAGCGUGCAGGAUGACGGCCCUAUGGGUUGUAAACUGCUUUUGUACGGGGAUAAAACGGCGGACGUGUCCGUCCUUGCAGGUACCGUACGAAUAAGGACCGGCUAAUUCCGUGCCAGCAGCCGCGGUAAUACGGAAGGUCCGGGCGUUAUCCGGAUUUAUUGGGUUUAAAGGGAGCGUAGGCCGGGGAUUAAGUGUGUUGUGAAAUGUAGACGCUCAACGUCUGACUUGCAGCGCAUACUGGUUCCCUUGAGUACGCACAACGUUGGCGGAAUUCGUCGUGUAGCGGUGAAAUGCUUAGAUAUGACGAAGAACUCCGAUUGCGAAGGCAGCUGACGGGAGCGCAACUGACGCUUAAGCUCNGAAGGUGCGGGUAUCGAACAGG
RNAcentral lists this ribosomal RNA (762 nucleotides) under Prevotella melaninogenica. RNAcentral describes it as "bacterial SSU rRNA". It matches the Rfam family "Bacterial small subunit ribosomal RNA", at positions 28 to 776 of the family's 1533-position model. The record is from RNAcentral. Lineage: Bacteria; Pseudomonadati; Bacteroidota; Bacteroidia; Bacteroidales; Prevotellaceae.